RNAcentral lists this long non-coding RNA (370 nucleotides) under Delphinapterus leucas (beluga whale). RNAcentral's name for it is "lncRNA (ENSDLEG00000017128.1)". Lineage: Eukaryota; Metazoa; Chordata; Mammalia; Artiodactyla; Monodontidae. The record is from RNAcentral.
CUGGGGCGUGGGCGUUGGCGGCGUCUGCGGCGCCCGGGGCCUGAGGCGGCGUAGUCGCCUCAGGCUUCGCCAGGGGAGCGCCUCGGGGCCGGUGAGCCGCCGGACGUUCUGGCCCCGCCAUCGACGGGGACCGUGGCGCGGCCGGAGCGGUCCCUGAGGGCCGAGGGGAGGGUUUCUCGGGUCCCCACGAGCGCCGGGCCUGGCACGGCCCUGGCGGCCUGUGUGGGGCCGCGGGCCCUCAGGAGGGAGGGAUGCGACCUGCUCCUGCCUGGAAAAUCUCAAGCCCCCAGGUUUUCAGUGCGCGCCUGAGGUGGCAGUUUAUAUAAAGGAAGCACUGGGACCUGUGGCCACACCCUUCAAGAAUAAAAAA